This 8579-nucleotide long non-coding RNA is filed under the name Populus trichocarpa (black cottonwood). RNAcentral describes it as "long non-coding RNA (PTRI_LNC000857)". Lineage: Eukaryota; Viridiplantae; Streptophyta; Magnoliopsida; Malpighiales; Salicaceae. The record is from RNAcentral.
GAUUCCUCAGACCUUUUGGAAACUGUACAUUCCGGGGGAAAGUCUGUGCAAGGGCAAAAGGCGACGGUGGACUUGACAAAGGGCUGAGGGGUGGGUGAGAUGUUAUGUCAAGAAAUGAUUUUGGAAAAUUUCUUCAUAUGUGUUGAAUAACUAAGAUAAGAUAGGAGUCUUGAACAAGGCAAAAGCAUAGGCUCUCCAAGACGAUUGACCAGAAGGAGAGAAGGAAGGCUCUAUAUCCUUAGCACGUCAAACACUCCUUUGCACAUUAGAGAAAUUGUCGAGUUAUUCCUGCUUCUUCUUCUUCUUCCUUUUUUUUUUUUUUAUUUAUAAUAGUCCAGUAUUAUUAUAGAAAGGUGCUCGAGCCAAAAUUAGAGACUAGCUAGCAUAAAAGAAAAACAUAGGACAAUAUAUACAAGACAGGGGAGGAAGUAAUAACAUAACAUAAUAUAUAUAUAUAUAUAUAUAUAUAUAUAUAUAUAUAUAUAUAUAUAUAUAUAUAUUAAAAAAAACUUGAGUUAACGCAUCAACUCAACGACCCGAAUCAUGAGAUCAGGAUAAGCAAACUCAAUAUUAAAAGAUGAAAUUUAAAAAAAAAACCUUAAAAACAUAUAUGGUUUAACAAUAUUAAUUAAUUAUUAAAAUCUUUCAUUUUAUAUAUAUUAAAAAUAAAUAUUAAUAACUAUUAUAUCAAUUUGUGAAUGUUUCAAUUUGAAUGCGAACAAAUGUUUUAUAUAUGACAUUUUUCUUAAGAAUGUCUCUUUCAUUAAAACCAAAAUUAUUUAACAUGAUUAGAUUUAAUACCCUGAGAGUUUAGGUCAUAGAUUGGCCUAAUACUCGGAUAAGAUUGAGAUCAUAUAUCAGACAAGUUAGCUUAUGUUGAAUGGUGUUAAUCUAAAAUUGUAUUAUUUUAAGAUUUUUUUUAGAAAAAAUCAAAAUUGCGUAGUUAAAAAAAAUAAAACUAGUUUUUGACUGAAUUAACUAGGUUGUGGGUUGAUUUAUUUAGUCGAUUAGGCUUGGUUGGGUCAGCUCUCACUUAGUUUUUUCUAAACCUGAAUUGGGUUAGGUUCCAGAUUAAAAUGUUAGGCUUGAAUUAAAUUUAAUAAUGCUGAUUAAAACCACAUUGUAGAAAAAAAAUUAAAUUGCAUAAAAGUAAUUAACCGAAAACUUGUAUUCCUUCUUGUAAAGCUGAACCCGUGUCAGUUUUAUUGAAGGAAAACUAUGAACCAAAGGUUAAUGCUACUUUCAUGACGAGAAGACUUGCUACUUUCUUUAUGGAAAUAACGUGUGGAAAAUCAUGCCUUAAUUUUGAUGGCGAUGGUAAAAUCAAAGAGUAUCGUUGAUAAUUAAAUGCUUAUGCAUAAAAAAUAAAUCUCAAGUGUUAGAAUGCAACCACUGAUUAAUUAAUGGACAACGGACCUUGGAUUAAUACAUGACGCAACUUUCAAUGGAAUUAUAUUUGUGGAGGUAUUUACUCGGAUGUGAAUUAUAUUUUUAUUUUUUUAUUUUAAAAAAAAUUCUAUAUACUACAACUAGCUUAAGAAAGUCAAAAAAAUUUAAGUGAAAAAAAAUAUAUAUAUAUUUAUAUACACUCACGCACACACAAAAAUAUAGUCAAAUAAAUCAAGAACUAUGUGUGUUAAUAAGUGGAAAAAAAAACCUUAAACGAUAACUCAAAAUAAAAACUAGAAAAAUCAAGAGACAAGUGUAUAUCAAGAUAUUUAAUUUCACAUGACGUGACAUUUUUUUUUUUGGAUUCGACGAAACCUCACCCCUCCGAAAAGCACACUUUGUGGGCCCAGGUGAGGGAGUAAAACCCCGGCUGUCCCAGGCUCUUACAAAAGGUGCACGCCCUGACUCGAACUCGAGACCUGCUGUGCAGAUCUCAAACCCUUUGCCAUCACGCUACGCCCCUUGGGGACAACGUGACAUUUACGCAGUAUUGUUUUCUAAAUUUUCUAAUUAAAAUAAUUUUUUAUUUGAUCAAACGAUAAUAUAAACAGACACACACAUUCUAAAUUGAUUGAAUAAAAAAAAAAUAUAUGCAAAGCUGUAUAUAUUAAAAAUAUUAUUUGAAAAUAAUUUGUUUUUCAAAAAUAAAGUUCAUCUAUGUAAAAGAUUUUAAAAAAAUAUAGAUUAAUCAAAAAAACCUCUUUAAAAAUUAAAUUCAUGAUUAAAAAAUAAUCAUCAUUUCAAAUAGGCUUUUUAAAUAACUAAAAAGAGAGAAGGGAUAUUAAUAUAAAUAUAAAUAUAACUAAAAUUAAGAUUAUUUUAAAAAAAUAGAUAAAAAAAAUUUUAAGCGAAAAAAAGUGAACAGACACGGUGAACUUAACUCAUAAACUCAACUGAAUUUAAUAUUUUUUUCGUUAAAUUUAUUAUAAAUAUAAAAAAAAACAAAAUUAAUAUCAUUCACGGUAAAACAUAAAUAAAAAACAGUACAACCGCAUAGUAUUCACCUCAGGCAUUUUCUUUUAAAUUUAUAGCCAAACCUUAAAAAUAAACUUUUGUGCUCAGUAUCUUUUUAAGGUGAAUUAACAAGUUUCAACUCAUCUCUGUAUCUUCUCUAGAUACAGAGAAUUCCUAUUUAACAUUAAUCUGUCCAUCAAGUUUUUGAUUCCCAAUUAAGACCAUCUUGAUAAAUGAGAAUUUACUCCGUAAUUUUAUUGUAUAGCUGUCAAUGACCUGAAACAUGCAAAUUAAAAUUCAAAGUGUGAGCAUUCAAUUUCUUGUCAGUUUACACCUUUCUGUGGUGUUCCCUCUUUCCAUUGAUUGAAGAGCGUCUAAGAGGAAAAACUGAAAAGGCAAAAGUUAUGUUGUACAGUGAAAAAGAGCAUGAUCAGAAAUACACAAAAACAGAGAUGAAUGAAUCCUUCUCCACUAGCGCUCUCGUCCAUCGGAUCAUUGUGGUUUCAAGACCGAUGCCCAAUCAUUGCCCUCUUUGUUCGAUUCCUCAGACCUUUUGGAAACUGUACAUUCCGGGGGAAAGUCUGUGCAAGGGCAAAAGGGGACGGUGGACUUGACAAAGGGCUGAGGGGUGGGUGAGAUGUUAUGUCAAGAAAUGAUUUUGGAAAAUUUCUUCAUAUGUGUUGAAUAACUAAGAUAAGAUAGGAGUCUUGAACAAGGCAAGAACAUAGGCUCUCCAAGACAAUUGACCAGAAGGAGAGAAGGAAGGCUCUAUAUCCUUAGCACGUCAAACACUCCUUUGCACAUUAGGGAAAUUGUCGAGUUAUUUCUGCUUCUGCUUCUGCUUCUUCUUCUUUUUAUAAUAGUCGAGUAUUAUUAUAGAAAGGUGCUAGAGCCAAAAUUAGAGGCUAGCUAGCAUAAAAGAAAAACAAUGAUUAAUUGCAAGAGAUGGUUACUUAUACCAGUAGCAAUUUAGUAAUGAUUAAUUAGCAUUUAUAUUAAGAUGUGGCUAUUAAUUCAAAUGUUAACAAUGAUUUUCUUGGAAGGAUGAUUGCCUCUUGGUUACUUUAAAAUAUACGGUUUUUUUAGUUCAAAUCUAUUAAUAAAAAUAUAGUUUUAUUGAAUUUUUUUAUAUACUUUUAUUAGAGAAAUUAAUUUAAACACAUUUAUAUACAGACACUAGUUUAUCAAGUACUUCAAUAGAAAAAUAAAAUCAAUUAGAGUACUUAAAUAAAAAAAAAUAUAAAUUAUAAGCAUUUUACAUAUCUUUAUUGUUUAUAAAUUAAAAAUAAAAUAAUAUCAAUCCAGACUAAUCUAAAAAAAAAUUAACUAUGACAUCAUCAUUCUAAUAAUAAAACUAAUAAAGAUGUUUUAUUGAUUAAAUUUCGUGAUACAGGGUUGAAACAAAAAAGAGAUGAAGAGAGAGGAGGGAAUGGAAAGAAGGGAAAAAAGAACUCAUGCGAUCUGUUGUUUGUAAGUUUUUUACAUAAUAUAUAGGAAGGUAUUUUAAUUAUUUUGUUCAAAUUAAAAAUUUUCAUUGACUAAAAAGCGUAAUUAUCUAAAACAUAAAAGCAAAGUAAAAAACUCAAAUGCUUCAUUAAAAAACUCAAUUGAUUCGGUGCUUUAUUAGUUUCUAUAGUAUGGUGUCUUAUGCAUUUUGUUCUAAUCAUAUAUGGGAAAGUGUUUGGUUGAUUAACGUAUAUCAUGACUUUGUAUGGGUCCUACCACAAACUCUCUCUUUUGAAAUAUUAAUUAAGAAAAAGCUAUAAUUUAUAGUUUUUUUAAAUUUAUUUUUUCAAAUUACAAUCAUAUAAACUACUAUAAUAUCAAAUACAUAUUUGAAUAAGACUCAGUAAAAAUUUUCUUCUUCUAAAUACAAAGUGGAAAUGAGUUACUUUCUCCAAAAAGAAUAUAUACAAUAUUAUCGAUUAUCUAAUGCAAACUCCGUCUAACAUACACAGAGAAAGAGAGAGAACCUUAACUAUGUUUAUUUUAUGCACUUUAAUUAAAAAUAAAUUUUGGAUUGUACGAGAGACUUUAAUUAAAUUUCAAUAUUAAAUUUAUGCACUUUAAUUAACAUACACAGAUCAACUAUUAAUAUAUCAAGACUUUUAACUCAAAUUCAUUAUUUAAACAAACCAUAACUUAAAAUUAUUAUCUUUAUCUAAAAUCUUUAAAAAUCAAUGAAAUAACUCAUUAUUCAUAAUAAUUAACCUGCUAAGUUAUUUCUGCUUCUUCCUUUUUAUAAUAGUCGAGAAUUAUAUAUUAUAGAAAGGUGCUAGAGUUAAAAUUAGAGGCUAGCUAGCAUAAAAGAAAAACAGAGGUAUAUACAAGACAGGGGAGGAAGUGUGCGUGCGUGCGUGUGUGUGUGUGUGUGUGUGAUCCCUUCUCAAGCUUAAAAGUAAAGCAUGAUUUUCUAGACGUGAUUUCCAUAAAGAUAGAAGGGAGGGCUCUGUAUCCAUCAUCUUCAAGGAAAGUGAGCUGGCCAUCGUCAACCAUUUAUUUAUGUUUUCAACCAUUUAUUUAUGUUUUUCCACAAAAGACUUUGACUUGGGGUCAACUUGUCGGUUAAUUACUUUUAUGCAAUUCAAUUUUUUAAAAAUAUAUAUAUAUAUGCUUUAAUUUCAACUUAAGUUAUAUACGGGACGAUAAAAAAAUAACAAUAAAAUCAAUUUAUAAAAAAAAUCAUAGAUUUAGUUUUCCUAAAUUUUAAAUGUAGUGUGAAAGCAUUCCGCAAGAAAAAAACAGUGCAAAAUUAGCCAUGACAAUAAGUCUUUUUCUUUCUAAAGAGUUUAUUUUUUGUAACACAAUCAAUAAGUAAGAUGGAUGGGAAUUUGCAGUGUGAGAUGGGUUUGUGAGACUAUAUAUUGCCAUCAGCAUUUUUUCCAUGAUAUAGGCUUGUAGGAUGGUCCAUGAGACCAUUGCUAUAUAUCAAGCGUUUUUUCUACGAGAUGGGUCCAUGAGACCAUUACCUCGUAAGCUUGGGAAUGGAUAACAUGAUUUAAUGUUUAUUUAGUUUAAAAAAAAAUUAAAUGCUUAUGCAUAAAAAAUAAAUCUCAAGUGUUAGAAUGCAACCACUGAUUAAUUAAUGGAUAAUGAACCUUGGAUUAAUACAUGACGCAACUUUCAAUGGAAUUAUAUUUGUGGAGGUAUUUACUCGGAUGUGAAUUAUAUAUAUAUAUAUAUAUAUAUAUAUAUAUAUAUAUAUAUAUAUAUAUAUAUAUAGGGGCACACACAAAUAUAGUCAAAUAAAUCAAGAAUUAUAUGUGUUAAUAAGUGAAAAAAAAAAUAUUAAACUAUAACUCAAAAUAAAAACUAGAAAAACCAAGAGACAAAUGUAUAUAAAGAUAUUUAAUUUCACAAGACGUGAUAUUUACGCAGUAUUGUUUUCUAAAUUUUCUAAUUAAAAUAAUUUUUUAUUCGAUCAAACGAUAAUAAAAAUAGACACAUACAUUAUAAAUUGAUUGAAUAAAAUAAAAGGAGAAAAAAUAAUAUGCAAGGCUGUACAUAUUAGAAAUAUUAUUUGAAAAUAAAUUUCUUUUUAUUUUCAAAAAUAAAGUUCAUCCAUGUAAAAUAUUUUUAAAAAAUAUAGAUUAAUCAAAAAAAUCUCUUUAAAAAUUAAAUGCAUGAUUAAAAAAUAAUCAUCAUUUUAAAUAGGCUUUUUAAAUAACUAAAAAGAGAGAAGGGAUAUUAAUAUAAACAUAAAUAUAACUAAAAUUAAGAUUAUUUAAAAAAAAUAGAUAAAAAAAUUUUAAGCAAAAAAAAGUGAACAGACAACUUAUAAACUCAACUGGAUUUAAUAUUUUUCCUGUUAAAUUUAUUAUAAAUAUAAAAAAACAAAAUUAAUAUCAUUCAUGGUAAAACAUAAAUAAAUAAAUAAAUAAAACAGUACAACCGCAUGUUAUUCACCUCAGGCAUUUUCUUUUAAAUUUAUAGCCGAACCUUAAAAACAAACUUUUGUGCUCUGUAUGUUUUUAAGGUGAAUUAACAAUUUUCAACUCAACUCGGUACCUUCUCUAGAUAGAUCUGUGACUAUGCCUUGGAUUUUCUCAAAACUACUAAGUGUGUGCUUGAGAGGGUGAUUAUAGUUGUUUUUUAAAGUGUUUUUCACUCAGAAAAACAUGUCAAUAAUAUUUUUUUAUAUUUUAAAAUUUAUUUUCGAAAUCAGCACAUCAAAAUGAUUUAAAAACAUCAAAAAUAUAUUAAUUUAAAGUAAAAAAAAAAUUCAAAUUUUUGCGGAAGUGCUUUUGAAAAGCACUCCCAAACACUCCCAUGGUUGGAUACCAAGUAAAUAGAGAUAAAUUUAUUUCCUGUUAUUCUCCGAUAGUAUCUUCGUCCCUUGAUAGAACUUUCUUGGAGAUGAUGAGCUACCACUCCCUUUUGACUUUGCUGGCCUCCCAAAUAUAAAUAAAGAAUUCCUCUUGAUAGAAUUUUCUUCGAAAUGAUGAGAAUAUUUUAGAAUAUUCUGGUUGACGCCAGCUGUCAACAACUAUCUUACAUUCCCAACGCAUGCCUUUGCAAGAUGUUAAAGGCUCAUCUAAAAACAAUUAACUCUGAUAUCGUUAUUUUAUAACAAAUUAGCAAAGAUAAUUUAUUAAUCACUAAGUUUUCUGGUUAUAAAUACAUUUGUAAUUGUCUUUAUCUCUUUUGUAUUUCUAACAAUUAACGAAUUGAAUAUAUAAUAAAUACCGACUGAAAGAAUAAAUUUAGUUUAAAUGUGCUAAAGUUUAAAUAGGCGACUUUAGAAUCACCAAGAAGGCAGUGAAUCACACGGGAAGAUUGAAAGAAUAAUUAAAGUGAUUUUACUAACAUUGUAAAAGUAAUUAACCGAAAAGUUGACCCCAAGUCAAAGUCUUCUGUGGAAAAACAUGAAUAAAAGGUUGACGCUGGGCAGCUCACUUUCCAUGAAGAUGAUGGAUACAGAGCCCCCCCUUCUAUCUUCAUGGAAAUCACGUCUAGAAAAUCAAACAUUAUUAUUGCCAUCUGCGUUUUUUCUUAGAGAUGGGUCCGUUCCACCAUUUCCCCUCAAGCUUGAGAUAUAUAUACGUGACACGAUUUAAUUUCAAAUCUUAAUGUAGUGUGUUAGAAUGCAACCACCGAUUGAUUAAAUUUAAUGGCUGGUCAUUUAAACUUGGGUGUUUUUUCGGUAUUAAUAUAUAUAUAUAUAUAUAUAUAUUCCUCAAUUAUCAUAAAAAAUUAAGAAAAAACUAAUAAUAAGAUUAAAAAUAAAUGUUUUAUUUAUCGAAAUAAUUAAAAGUAAGGUUUACUUAAGGUAUAUAUGGGAUGGUAAAAAAAUAACAAUAAAAUCAAUUUAUAAAAAAAAAUCAUAGAUUUAGUUUUCCUAAAUUUUAAAUGUAGUGUUUAUAAUUAAUUAAUUAAUUGAGAAUUUGAGCUCUUCUAAAAGUUGUUUAUGGACUUUUGUUUUCCGGAGAAAACUCCCUUAAAACCUUUGAGCACUUCCUUCUCUAAAAUAUAUGUUUUUGCCAUAACUCAGGGGCUCUGUAUCUUUUAAGGUGAAUUAGGCUUUAUAUCUUUUUAAGGUGAAUUAACAAGUUUCAACUCAUCUCUGUAGAUACAUAGAAUUCCUAUUUAACAUUAAUCUGUCCAUCAAGUUUUUGAUCCCCAAUUAAGACCAUCUUGAUAAAUGAGAUUUUACUCUGUAAUUUUAAUGUAUAGCUGUCAAUGACCUGAAACAUGCAAAUCAAAAUUCAAAGUGUGAGCAUUGAAUUUCUUGUCCGUUUACACCUUUCUGUGGCGUUUCCUCUUUCCAUUGAUUGAAGAGCGUCUAAGAGGAAAAACUGAAAAGGCAAUCACUAGCGGCCCUCGUCCAUCGGAUCAUUGUGGUUUCAAGAUUGAUGCCCAAUCAUUGCCCUCUUUGUUCGAUUCCUCAGACCUUUAGGAAACUGUAUAUGAGAUGUUACAGAGUGACGGAGGACUUGACAAAGGGCUGAGGGGUGGGUGAGAUGUUAUGUCAAGAAAUGAUUUUGGAAAAUUUCUUCAUAUUUGUUGAAUAACUAAGAUAGGAGUCUUGAACAAGGCAAGAACAUAGGCUCUCCAAGACGAUUGACAGAAGGAGAGAAGGAAAGCUCUAUAUCCUUAGCACGUCAAACACUCCUUUGCACAUUAGAGAAAUUGUCGAGUUAUUUCUGCUUCUGCUUCUGCUUCUGCUUCUUCUUCUU